RNAcentral lists this unclassified non-coding RNA (211 nucleotides) under Hevea brasiliensis (rubber tree). Lineage: Eukaryota; Viridiplantae; Streptophyta; Magnoliopsida; Malpighiales; Euphorbiaceae. The record is from RNAcentral.
UUCUAACCCUAAUACAAAAAGCCCUAGGCUUGUACGGCGCAUACUUUUGUCUUCUUUAAAAGUUUUUGGGUCGUCUAAUUUGACCUUCAAAUUCGUACUAAUUGUUCAGAUCUGUGCUGCUGGUUUCUGAUUUUCUUGAGUUUGUGGGUCAUUUCUGUUUUUAAAGCUAGGAUUCCCUUUUUGUAAAAAAAAUUUGGUUGGGUACUUCAAG